Molecule: long non-coding RNA, 2838 nt
Organism: Gadus morhua (Atlantic cod)
Lineage: Eukaryota; Metazoa; Chordata; Actinopteri; Gadiformes; Gadidae
Source: Ensembl
UUUAGACAUUUUCGUCAGACGAGAACUAGACGAGACUAAAUUGUUAGUGAGUGGACGAACAAAGUUUCAAAACAUGCUUUUUUCCCGCCAACUAUAAUAUGCGCGCAAUGUCAAUCAAGAGCUCAGACGUCACGAGGCACACACACACACACACACACACACACACACACACACACACACACCAUGGCAGCAGCAGCAGUGGUGCCGGGUGCGGGUGGGUGGUCGUAAGAAGAGGGAUGAUUUAUGGUCCCACUUCAGAUACAGCCCACAGGCCAAUGCCACAGAAUGCCUUGUACGGGCAGUACGGGGACAGGGAGCCGAGUCGAACGACGGUCACGGAGACGAAGCCACGACCGUCACCACAACUUCAUGCUGCGGCUUCAAACUCGCAGGAAAAAAUACCACAAACCUCAAAAGGCACCUGAAGGCCAGCCAUCCUGCUAUUUUUGCGAAGAUCCCAGCGAGCAUAACCCCAAAGAAGAAACCAAGUGGAGUGCAGCAGCAGACCUCCUUAGAAAAGUCAUUUGCAGCGGCAACGAAAUAUGACGAGAACGAUCGGGAACAACUGAGAAAAGAAAUGGCAAUUGCUUUAUGGAUCGGUCGGACAGGGCUUCCUGCUUCCAUUGUGGAGGACGAAGAAUUCAUCCUCAUGAUUGAGAAGUUUGACAAGAGACUGACCAUCCCAAAAAGAACUUAAGUGAACAAUUUAAUUGAUAAAGUAUACCUUGAUGCCAAACUAAAAUUCAGAGAGCAGCUUGCCACAGCACAAAGGAUCACCAUUGGCCUGGACAUAUGGUCCAAGAAAGGCCUCACAGCCUCAUUUCUUGCCAUCAGUGCCUGCUACUAUUGCCCAGACGACAAAAAAGCAUGUCACAUAUUAUUAUCUCUGAUCCAGCUUACUCAUCCACACACGGCAGAGAGCAUAAAAACCUGUGUUGACCGGUGCACAGAAGACUGGGGUGUACCGCAAAACAAAAUACUGACAGCCAUAACGGACAACGGGAGCAACAUGGUAGCUGCAUUCAAACCUGUAGAGGAGGAGGAGAGUGAGAGCAGCAUGGAGGACGACUCCCAGGAGAGCGACAGUGAAGACCCUGUGCUGGCUACAGACGAACAGAGGUAUGGACUGAUGGUGAGGACCCCCUGCGUCAUCCACACGCUACAGCUGGUGGUUGGCAUGAUAAAAAAAGAAACAAGUGUUAAUAAACUUCUAGAUAAGGUCCGUUCACUGGUGAAGCUCUUCCGAAAAUCUUCCGUAGCAACUGAGAGGCUAUUGAAGGAGUGCAAAUUAACUCUGGUGAAGGACUGCCCCACUAGGUGGUCGAGCACCUACAUUAUGAUCAACCGGCUUCUUCAAGUAAAGGACUCGGUUGUGAAAGUUGCGGAUGGCAUGACGUGGGACUAUCUCCUACCAAGUGAAUGGCAAAAGCUGACCGCUGUGAAAGAAUUGCUCUCCCCCUUUGCUGAGCAUACACAGAUGCUGCAAAGCGACACACAGAGUCUGUCCCUUGUCAUUCCUGCCCUUCUUGACCUACAAGCUCACCUGUCUGACAUACUUGAUGAGCAGGGUCAUACUUUCAAGGACCUAGGGUCCUUGGCAGUAAAGAUGAGGGCCAACAUAGAGCUGCGAUUCGGCUGCUUUCUUGACAGCACGCACUCCAAAUUCUCACCCCUUGCUGCUGCUGCUUGCUUCCUCGAUCCAACAGAAUCACUCCUCACGAAUGAUGAUUUACAAAUUCAGGACAUUCUGAGAAAAGCGCAAGAGUACAUUGUUCAGUUGGUUCCACCAGUAGUUCGUGAGGAGGAGGAGGAGGCUGAGGAAUCGGAGAAGGGAGAAGGAGCAGCAGCCGAACCACUGAAAAAGCGGUCAAGAUUUAAAUAUUUUUCCAAAACACACCGACCAUCCAAGUCUAGCCGGCCAAAACCGUGCGUCAGGCAUGAAAUGGAGAAGUAUAAGCAGGAACUGUCCCACUUAACUGAAGAAGAGUGCUCAAGUGCCCUUGAGUUUUGGAUUGCACAGCCGGAUCAUGCAUAUCCUCUCCUGAAACCCAUUGCCUUAGAUAUUAUAGCCAUGCCUGCCUCUCAAGCAUUUGCCGAGAGAGUGUUCAGUGUUACAGGUGACCUCAGUCGUGGUCGUCGCAACAGAGCCAGAGUCAUUUUAGAGAGAAGUGCUUUCCUCAAAUUGAACCGGUAGGCUACUGAGGCUACCUCGGCCCAGUUUAUACUGGCAGCUUAAAUCUGGCCUGAAUCAGAUCUGUGUCAGAUCUACAAGCUCCAAUGUUGUGAUGUGACCCAUGUGGAGCUUGUAUGUCUGAUCUGAUCUGCCGCAGAUCUGAUUCGGGCCAGAUUCAGGCCGCCAGUGUGAACCUAGUAGUGGCAAGUUACUUGACUUAGUUGACUUGUAUCAUUGAUUGUACAGAUUGUAUUGCGCUUCCAUGUUGGUUCUGUUUGGUUGCCUUAAAUAUUUGUAUUUGCAGAGCUGGUUGCCUUAAAAUUUCUGUUUUUAUGUAUGCAGAUCUUUGUUUUGUUUGAUCUUUACAUAUUUGGAAAUCCAUUCAUGGCCAUGUUGGGAUUUUAAUGUCUCUAUAACUUGACUUGUGGUUGUGAAACUUGUUUGUUAAGAGUAAGAUUACUGUUCCCCAACCCCUCAUAUUUUAGUAGAAUUGCACUAGGAGCCACAUUGUGUUACCCUCCUACUUCAAGUUCAUGUGAAGUCAAGUGAGCUUUAUUUUUGUUUAAUCAUAUUUUAUUGUGAUACAAUACUCAUUGUGUGCCAUUGUGUUGUCUGCAACAAAAUAAUAAAAGAAAAGGUAGAGAAAAAAGUCGAGAAAAAAAAAA